Microplitis mediator is the source of this 690-nucleotide long non-coding RNA. RefSeq lists it as uncharacterized. The record is from RefSeq and is a predicted model, not a curated record. Lineage: Eukaryota; Metazoa; Arthropoda; Insecta; Hymenoptera; Braconidae. The transcript has 4 exons.
CAAGCUUUGUUACGGCAACAGGACUUUUAUUAUUUAAUUUGCGAGAGGAGUUCCGGUACAACAGCAGAGCUAGUAAUAUUGCAGUUACGGGAUUAGUCUCACAAAUACCACGAGACUAGUCUAUUAGUGUUUACAUUUCUGCUGUAUCUGUAGCGAAAAAAAAGAUUAUGGGGCCAGAAUGAGGAUUUUGGCUCAUUUUAGCCCAUUUUCGAGACCAUAAGCUCUGCUGCUGAGACUUCACGGCUUUUCUUAAUUGCCAGUGUGAUUUAAUACAAAUUUUUCAACUGUCCGAGACGUUUCUCGAUGAAAUUGGAAAUCGACGCGAUGCGACAACGAUAUACCGACAUCUCGAAGGUUAAUUUAGAAAGGUAUUUCAGGUGAAAAGUUCACUGUCGCGUGAUUAGAAGCUUCAAGGAGUGUCAUAUUGAUAGCCACUGUGGGUCGAAUAAUAUCAUGGGAGCGCCAUUUCGAAAUACGAGAGGUGCAUGUAUAAUUAAACUCGCCUACUUGGCAUGAUGCAUCGACAGGUACAAGUAUCUGAAGAAAAAAAUUAUAAACAGGAUGCACAUAUCCACCCGUUUUUAGUGUUACAUACUUUUCUCUUCUCCUACUUUUUUAUUUAUUCCUACCUACGUUUUUGAAUGAGCCAUCAAUAUCUUAAUCUAUGAAAAAAUAAAUUUUUGUAUAUGA